RNAcentral lists this unclassified non-coding RNA (399 nucleotides) under soil metagenome. RNAcentral's name for it is "partial contains 5.8S ribosomal RNA, internal transcribed spacer 2, and large subunit ribosomal RNA". The stretch from base 1 to 120 matches the Rfam family "5.8S ribosomal RNA", at positions 35 to 154 of the family's 154-position model. The record is from RNAcentral.
GAUGAAGAACGUAGCGAAAUGCGAUACUUGGUGUGAAUUGCAGAAUCCCGUGAACCAUCGAGUCUUUGAACGCAAGUUGCGCCCGAAGCCUCGGCUAAGGGCACGUCUGCCUGGGCGUCACGCAUCGCGUCUCCCCCAAACCGCCAAGGCGGAGGGGAAGGAAGAUGGCUUCCCGUGCCUCACCCGGCGCGGUUGGCCUAAAUUUGGAGCCCGCGGCACUUAGCUCUCGCGGCGAUAGGUGGUGAACAAGGCCUUGGCCGUGCAAACAACCCGCUGCGAAGCUCUAUGUCACGUGCGCUCGUCCGACCCUUUGAAGUUGCCUUCGGUGACUUAAAACCUUUGCGACCCCAGGUCAGGCGGGGCUACCCGCUGAAUUUAAGCAUAUCAAUAAGCGGAGGA